UUUUCUAUACACUUAUUAUCUAAUGAGUUCCUCUUAUAAAUUGCUUUGAAUUAAACAGUUUUCCUGAUGAAAAUUGUAUUGUUUUGGUAACCCAAUGAUGGCUUUGAACGGUGUUGUUAAGCUGGGGAAUGUUGUUCCUCAACUGGGUUGGGGAGAAUUGAGUUUUAAGCCUUCUAGGUUUGUGUGUUAUCAGGUGAAAGACAAUGAGGGAGUUCGUAAAUGGGAGUGUCUUAAUGGGUUUUUGAGUUUAUCAUCAACCCACCAGACAAUAAGAUCUAUGGAUGAUGAUGAGAAGUCGUCAAGUUCGGCUACGGA
Camellia sinensis is the source of this 315-nucleotide non-coding RNA. The record is from RefSeq and is a predicted model, not a curated record. Lineage: Eukaryota; Viridiplantae; Streptophyta; Magnoliopsida; Ericales; Theaceae.